RNAcentral lists this small RNA (1290 nucleotides) under Pongo abelii (Sumatran orangutan). RNAcentral describes it as "retained intron". The record is from RNAcentral. Lineage: Eukaryota; Metazoa; Chordata; Mammalia; Primates; Hominidae.
CCCGCCUCGGCUCCGCGCCCUCGCCCCGCUCUCAGCCGCCGCUCUGCCCCGCAGCAGCCAGCCCCGUGUCCGGCAGUAUGUUCAGCUGGGUCAGCAAGGAUGCCCGCCGCAAGAAGGAGCCGGAGCUCUUCCAGACGGUGGCUGAGGGGCUGCGGCAGCUGUACGCGCAGAAGCUGCUGCCCCUGGAGGAGCACUACCGCUUCCACGAGUUCCACUCGCCCGCCCUGGAGGACGCUGACUUCGACAACAAGCCCAUGGUGCUCCUCGUGGGGCAGUACAGCACGGGCAAGACCACCUUCAUCCGACACCUGAUCGAGCAGGACUUCCCGGGGAUGCGCAUCGGGCCCGAGCCCACCACCGACUCCUUCAUCGCCGUCAUGCACGGCCCCACUGAGGGCGUGGUGCCGGGUAACGCGCUCGUGGUGGACCCGCGGCGCCCCUUCCGCAAGCUCAACGCCUUUGGCAACGCUUUCCUCAACAGGUUCAUGUGUGCCCAGCUGCCCAACCCCGUCCUGGACAGCAUCAGCAUCAUCGACACCCCCGGGAUCCUGUCUGGAGAGAAGCAGCGGAUCAGCAGAGGCUAUGACUUUGCAGCCGUCCUGGAGUGGUUCGCCGAGCGUGUGGACCGCAUCAUCCUGCUCUUCGAUGCCCACAAGCUGGACAUCUCCGAUGAGUUCUCGGAAGUGAUCAAGGCUCUGAAGAACCAUGAGGACAAGAUACGCGUGGUGCUGAACAAGGCAGACCAGAUCGAGACGCAGCAGCUGAUGCGGGUGUAUGGGGCCCUCAUGUGGUCCCUGGGCAAGAUCAUCAACACCCCCGAGGUGGUCAGGGUCUACAUCGGCUCCUUCUGGUCCCACCCGCUCCUCAUCCCCGACAACCGCAAGCUCUUCGAGGCCGAGGAGCAGGACCUCUUCAAGGACAUCCAGUCUCUGCCCCGAAAUGCCGCCCUCAGGAAGCUCAAUGACCUGAUCAAGCGGGCGCGGCUGGCCAAGGUAGACCACGGGGUGAGGGGAGCAGCCUAUUGCCAGGCAGGGCCGUGGGGCUCUGAGACUGGCACUCAGAGCUCCAGGAUUGCCGGAGACCCUUCCCAGCUCACUUCACAGGCAGACCUGCACUGCGCUGUUUCCCUCUAUAGAAACCAGUCUUUGGUCAGCACCUGCGUGCAGCCUGCUCUUAACUAAGAUUCUCUACCCGGCCUCCCUCUAAACCUGUUCUGUUUGUGGUUUAUACCCCAUCUACUUUCAAGAAGGGUUUGACUAUGCUUACAACACAGAAACAGCACACAGGAAG